Molecule: long non-coding RNA, 1875 nt
Filed under: Nicotiana tabacum (common tobacco)
Lineage: Eukaryota; Viridiplantae; Streptophyta; Magnoliopsida; Solanales; Solanaceae
Description: long non-coding RNA (NTAB_LNC002894)
Source: RNAcentral
GACGAUUUUUGGGGAGCUUCAAGAGGGAAUUUUCAUCAUCAAUGUGAAGGUAAGUUAUCCCCACCUAUUUUGAGUUAAGUACAUCAAUUAUGUAUGGAUUUGAGCAUGAAAAUUGUAGAAAAAUUGAGGAUUUAGGCCUAGGGAUUUGAAAAUAAGAUUUGGUGAUUUGAGGGGUUAAAUGAACUUAGAUUUUGGUAAAUUUUAUAUGUACAGACUCGUGGAGAGACGAGGAAUCCGGUGAUGUGACUUUCAUAAUUUUUAGAGAAGUGGGCCCCAGGCUCGGGUUUUGCAAAUUUCGUGAUUUUCGAUAUUUUUCGAGUCUUUUCGAUUGAGUUAUAUUCCCUUAGCCUAUUGUAAUAUAUUCCUUGUGGUUUUGGCAAGAUUCGACACACGAGGAGGUCGAUUCGAAAGGAAAGGGCAUCACAGAGUAGACUUUUGGCCAUCUUGAGGUGAGUAAUAGAUGUAAAUGCUGUUCUGAGGGUUUGAAACCCCGUACUUUCACAUCGUAACGCUAUAUUGAGGCGUGACACGCACUCCAUGGUGAGUGCGGGGUCGGAUACUAUUGGGGAUUGUGACUUGGUCCAUCCCGUGUGAUGUUUAUACUAUACUGGUGAUUGAUACACAUACUUCAUUAAUAUUACUGGGCUUGAUGCCAUGUUUGGGGCCUUGUGCCGAUUUGUAAAAUCCUUCGAGGAUUGAUAUUACUGCUUAGCAUGAUUUGCAUAUCAUUUAAUUUCAGUCCAAGGUUUUAAAUACUGUUUUGCAAACUCAGCCAUAAUUCUAAGUGUUGAAAACUUAAAUGAUAUUUUUAAAUGUAUUCUGGGCUAGGAACUUCUGUUUUGUAAAUGCCCAAGGGGCUUAUUAUAUUAUUUUCUGGACCGAUUAUAAAGUGACUUGAAAUAGUGGUAACAAUGACACUGUGUGAUAUACUUGAAACAGUGGUAACAAUGACACUAUGUGAUAUACUUGAAACUGUGGUAACAAUGACACUGUGUUGAUAUACUUGAAACAGUGGUAAUAAUAACACUGUGUGAUAUACUUGAAAUAGUGGUAACAAUGAUACUGGAUGAUAUACUUGAAUAGUGGUAACAAUGGCACUGUAUAUUAUAAAUUGGUCAGGUAACAAUGACUGACCGGUCAGGUAACAAUAACUGACCAAGAUAUUGCGCUUGGGCUGUAGGAGCCCCUCCGGAGUCUGUACACACCCCCAGUGAGCGCCGUCGACGAUAAAUAAAUAUGGAUGGCUCGGGCUGCACGCCGCAGUGGGGACUGGAGUGUACCAUCAUAUGCAUUACAUUGCAUUCAUGUAUUUGUAUUUAUACUGGUGUUUAGCUGCUCAGUUCCAUAUGUUGCUGUAUAUUCAGAUUGUAGCUUACUUUGUGUAUUUACUGGAUUUUCUUAUCUUCGGACUGUAGUUACUUUUAUUACUCACUGGGUCGGAGUACUCACUUUACUCCCUGUACCUUGUGUGCAGAUCCAGGGCAGUCUCAGGCUCAGUAGAUCCAAUCGAUCAGCAGAUCCAGCCUCUGGGAGUAUCGAGGUAGCUACACAGCAUUCACAACCAUUGAUCUUCUCCCUCCUAUCCUAUCUCUCUAUUUCCGCAUUAUCGGACUUUGGAUAUACCAUGUAUUAGGAUGAUAUUCUGUAUUCUAGAGGCUCAGAUUCGUGACACCGGGUCCUAGUGAGAUUAUAUUAUGUAUUUUGUUAAAAUCUUCAGUACUUUAAUCUUUCUUAAUUGAUAUUUCUUUCUGCUAUUUUUGAUAAAUUGGGUUAAGUGUUGAAUAAUGGUCGGGCUUGCCUAGUAGUGUGCUGGGCGCCAUCACGACCGGGAUUUGGGUCGCGACAAGUUGGUAUUAGAGCCAUGGUUACUUGGUC